Molecule: long non-coding RNA, 1982 nt
Filed under: Pan troglodytes (chimpanzee)
Lineage: Eukaryota; Metazoa; Chordata; Mammalia; Primates; Hominidae
Description: long non-coding RNA NONPTRT012614
Source: RNAcentral
AGUAACAAAAUGGUGGUGGUAAGACCUUCCCUAUCAAUAAAAACAUUGAAUGUAAAUGGACUAAAUUCUCUAAUUAAAAGACAUACAGUAAAUGAAUGCCUUUAAAAAUAAUACCCAAAUAUAGGCUGUGUACAAGAAACUCACUUCACCUAUAAAAAUAAAUUGAAGGCCGUUUGCACUAACAUCUGAAACAAGAUAAGGAUGCCCAUUUUCACCACAUUUAUUCAACAUAGUUCUGGAAUUCUCGAUGAGACUAAAGCAAUUAAGCAAUAGAAAGAAAUGAAAGGUAUCUAAAUUGGACAGAAAGACAUCAAAUUAUCCUUGUUUGCAGAUGGUACAAUAUUAUUUUUAUAAUAAACCAGUCUCUACCAAAAACUCUUAGAACUGACAAAUGAAUUCAGCCCAUUUACAAUAGCUACCUAGAAGUCAAUUUCACCAAAGAAGUGAAAUAUUUCUACAAGAAAAACUAUAAAACACUGAUGAAGUAAAUUGAAGCGGACACACACAAAAAAAUGUGAUGAGAUUGAGAACAGAAACCAUUAGAUGUUCCACCCCAAACCACAAACUGUAUCUUUUAUUGAAAUGAACCCAAACUUCUUAAAAUCAAGUUAACAGAACCAAGUCUACAUUUUCCAAAAUUCAUAAUAACAUAGGAACCUCAAUUAAUCUAUAUUGGUGUGAGUAGGCAGUGGAGGAGGUGGCGAUAACGUGGUCCCUGAAAGAGCUCUCCAAAAAUGAGCAAGCUAAAAUUUGAGUGAUAAGAAACAGUCAUCCAUGUGAAUAUCUCAGGAAAAAAACAUUUCAGGCAGUAGAAAAGGCAAUGCAUGACAGUGACUAAAAUGGUUUUUGUACUAAAUUUACCCUGAAAAGUGUACAUGAAAGGAGGUUGCUAACAUUCCUUCUCCAAGAAUUAGAAAGGGAUUUGCCACCAUAUGGCACCAUGGCAUAUGUUACUUAUCACUAUGAAUAGAAAUUGGCAAAUAUUAAACAUCCUACAAGAAUUUCAGCACAAUCCAGAUCUUCUUAGAAGCAUUCAUUAGCCAAUUAGCCUAAUGAAAUGCAAAUAUUGUGUAAUUAAUUAAGGAAAUCUUUCCUAUCUUUUUAAGUCUGGUUCAGGUCAUACCAUCUAUUCUCCACACCCAAUUCCUAUGAUAUUUAUAACCCAUAGGUGUAGAUAAUCUAUCCUUUCUAUGCUAUUUUAUUAUAUUUUCCUCACAUUUCAACCAUAUGUUUGCCAUUACUUGCCAUAGAAUGUAGUUACUACGCACAUCUCUAUCUCUCUCCAUAGUUUCCAGGCUCCUAGAAUACAACUUUGAAUUCAUCAUUCCACUUAACCGUUGUAAUUAUCACUAUGUUUUGAUUAUAAUAAGCAUUCAAAAAUAUUUGUUAAGCCAAAAUAUUGAUGUUAUUUUGGAAGUUGUAAGAGGAAUUAAUCACUGUACAGCUUCAAAAGUAAACCCUGUCCAGGAGUCAUUUUCUGGUGGAAAAUUAAAGUUAAGGCCUUUAAAAUUUUUUUUUAUUAUAAUAUAAUUGUAGAUUCACAUAUAGUUAUAAGAAAUAAAACAGAGAUAGCCCAUGGACACUUCAUGCAGUUUCCCCCAAUGGUAUCAGUUGCAAAACUGUAGCACAGCAUCUCAACUAGGAUCUUAAUACUGAUACAGAACAAGUUCCAACCCCACAGGGAUUCUUUUUCCUGUUGCUCUUUUAUAACCACACCCGUUACCCUCCGACUACCUCUUUAUCCCCUGACAAAUCCCCGACAGUAGUUUAUUAUAAUUUCUAUAAGUUUUUCAUUUCUAAAAAGUUACAUAAAUGGAGUUUUAUAGACCAUAACCUUUUAAAAUGAAUUUCAACUUUUAUUUUAGAUACAAGGGUUUCAUGAGCAGGUUACUGUAUGGAAAUAUUGCGUGAUGCUGAGGUUAGGGGUAUGGAUCCCAUCACCCAGGUAGUGAGCUGUAUUAGUCCAUUCUCACACUGCUAUA